This is a long non-coding RNA of Syngnathus acus (greater pipefish), 562 nucleotides long. RefSeq lists it as uncharacterized. NCBI's taxonomy places the organism in Eukaryota, Metazoa, Chordata, Actinopteri, Syngnathiformes, Syngnathidae. The record is from RefSeq and is a predicted model, not a curated record. The transcript has 5 exons.
AGGUCUGUUUUGGCACGCAGGAAGUUGGCAUGCUCCGUGUCGUCCACCGGCUUCUCGAAAUAAACAUCUACGCCAUCUGUGGGUCGAGUGGUUGUCACUGCGAUGGGGGGGGGGGGGCAGGAAAUAGAGGAAUGCAUUUGCUGAGCUUGCUGUCCUGAGAAGCUGCUGAGCUGACGUCUGAGCAAGUAUUUCUGUUUGACGUGGGCAAGCUUGUCCCAAAAGCCUCCUGCUGGUUGGUGACCCAGUUCGAAAUCACACGCAUCUCCAAAUGCUGUGCUGCUGCGUGUUUACCAUGACCCUGCACGUUUCAGCCAUUUGUGUGCAUGUGUAUCUCCAAAAGCUUAAGGGGGGGAGCCAGAUACACAGAAGAGGAGGAGCAGAUGGAGAGACAAGGAGAAGCUGUUUGAUGUCCAUCCUCCCACCAUCUUCCAUAUCAGAUGCAGGCCGCCUUGUGCUUGACGCAGCCAGCCAAAUAGUCACAAGACAACGUUUCUUCUUUGUUCAAUUAUAAUCUUCUAUCUAUAGCGUGUGAUAAAAUGACACUUUGGAUUUUGCACCGUCA